ACCCAAAGGCGUAAUGAAAGUAAAGAGUGAGUAGAGAAGAAAGAUUAAUAAGAUAAAAAUUUUAUUUUUAACUUUGCUUUAUCUCUCUUUCUCUCUUACUCAAGGGAAGAUAGAAAUCUUAUUUUAGAUAAUAUUUUUAAUAUAAUUUUUUUUUUUUUUUUUAUAAAUUUAUAUUAAGUAAAUUUAAAAUGUAGAUUUCUCGCAUUCCCAGGGCGCUUGUUUCUCGCUUUGCGAGUCUAUGCGCACCUAGAGCGUACACGAUGAUACCCGAAAGAUGGUGAACUAUGCCUGGCCAGGACGAAGCCAGGGGAAACCCUGGUGGAGGUCCGCAGCGAUUCUGACGUGCAAAUCGAUCGUCAGAGCUGGGUAUAGGGGCGAAAGACCAAUCGAACCAUCUAGUAGCUGGUUCCCUCUGAAGUUUCCCUCAGGAUAGCUUGCGCUCGGUUGAGAAGAGUCUCAUCCGGUAGAGCGAAUGAUUAGAGGCAUUGGGGUCGAAACGACCUCAACCUAUUCUCAAACUCCAAAUAGAUGAGACCCCCGGCUUUCU
This 547-nucleotide ribosomal RNA is filed under the name Ectrichodia crux. RNAcentral's name for it is "partial 28S ribosomal RNA". It matches the Rfam family "Eukaryotic large subunit ribosomal RNA", at positions 706 to 1091 of the family's 3401-position model. The record is from RNAcentral. Lineage: Eukaryota; Metazoa; Arthropoda; Insecta; Hemiptera; Reduviidae.